Molecule: ribosomal RNA, 502 nt
Filed under: uncultured bacterium
Lineage: Bacteria
Description: partial 16S ribosomal RNA
Rfam family: Bacterial small subunit ribosomal RNA
Source: RNAcentral
AUUGAACGCUGGCGGCAGGCCUAACACAUGCAAGUCGAGCGGUAACAGGGGAGCUUGCUCCUGCUGACGAGCGGCGGACGGGUGAGUAAUGUAUGGGGAUCUGCCCGAUAGAGGGGGAUAACUACUGGAAACGGUGGCUAAUACCGCAUAAUGUCGCAAGACCAAAGAGGGGGACCUUCGGGCCUCUUGCUAUCGGAUGAACCCAUAUGGGAUUAGCUAGUAGGUGAGGUAAUGGCUCACCUAGGCGACGAUCUCUAGCUGGUCUGAGAGGAUGACCAGCCACACUGGAACUGAGACACGGUCCAGACUCCUACGGGAGGCAGCAGUGGGGAAUAUUGCACAAUGGGGGAAACCCUGAUGCAGCCAUGCCGCGUGUGUGAAGAAGGCCUUAGGGUUGUAAAGCACUUUCAGUCGGGAGGAAGGGGUUGGGGUUAAUAGCCUUAAUCAUUGACGUUACUGACAGAAGAAGCACCGGCUAACUCCGAGCCAGCAGCCGCCGUAA